UUAGUUCAACAUGUAAAUGCAGUAUAUCACAGAUAUAUGACAGAGGAGACUGACUCUUGUCUGGAUGUUACAGGGACAGAUGAGACACACGUGUGUUUAUCUGCUGUAGAGUAACUGAUGAAGGAAUGCUGCCAUCAAAGGAUUUGUAUCUUUUGUGGUGGAGCAGGACCUGCAAGGAAAGGUGAAAAAAAGGGAAAACCUGAAACAAAAGAAUAAUGUAGUUGUGCUCAUGGGGUUCAGGCACACGAAAGUUUGGAGCCGUGUUCUUCUGCUCUCGCUUCAAGGUUGUGUGGUUCAGAGAGCCGACAUCAUGGUCUUCCUCAAUUGAGAAGAGUGAGAUUGUGAAGUGCAGCAGCAGAA
This is a long non-coding RNA of Carassius gibelio (silver crucian carp), 360 nucleotides long. RefSeq lists it as uncharacterized. The transcript is spliced from 3 exons. The record is from RefSeq and is a predicted model, not a curated record. NCBI's taxonomy places the organism in Eukaryota, Metazoa, Chordata, Actinopteri, Cypriniformes, Cyprinidae.